UAAUGUGUUGUGAACACCCCAUAAACCGAGACCUCUAGGGUGUAUAAACACGUCUCUCAUAUCCUCUCUAAGGGUGAGAGGAGAUAGUAACUCCA
RNAcentral lists this non-coding RNA (95 nucleotides) under unclassified sequences. RNAcentral describes it as "PhotoRC-II RNA". It matches the Rfam family "PhotoRC-II RNA". The record is from RNAcentral.